CCGCCAUUGUGGUUGCGCAUCCACAACUCGUUGCCGCGCGCGUGCCUGCGCUCGCUGCACUGGAGAACAGCACCCAAAAGGGUGAGUCGCUGCAGGACACCUCGCGCGUUUCAUCAAGCACCUUCACCCGUCAGCGUAUAUACACGUACACGCGCGCCGUGCUAGACGUCAGUCGGUCAGAUCUAUCACUACCGCAACCACUGGCACUACCAUAGAAAAGAAGGGGUCUGAACACGCGAUACACGCAUCGUAUUGCGAGCGUGGUUUAGAAUCGCCAUCCAUUAGCCACAGUAAUACCUCCGAGAGAGCUGGGCGUUCUUCCCGGCCCUCGCCCUCUUUGCGGCGGCGGCGGCGGUUCACGUGCCUCAGCGUCUCACGCAGACGGCGUGGAGGAGAGUCUUCUUUAUCUUCUUGACGUGCUUUUCAUCCUCCUCUCUCCUGCUCCUCAAGAGGGCGCUGUGUGUGUGAUCUUGCGCGUGGGUUUUUGAGUAAGUGUGCUUGCAGCAUGUCCUCGCCGCGCGACACUGUCUCGCCGGUGCAGGCCAUCGGCGAGUCGAGGGCAGGACACUCUCCGUUUACCGAGCAGCUCCCCACGGCCUCCCCGCGAAGUAGCCACACGGCCGCCGUGCUUGAAACGGCAAGCGCCAGCAGCCCAUCACUGUCGUCGUCGGUAUCGCGGUCGAACGAGUUUGCGCUUCCUCGUCGAGACAUGACGGUGGGCGGCUCUAAUGGGCCGCGAGUCAUUCCGUUCUACGCCGCCGCGGCACCGAUCAACAAGGAAUCGAGCGGCGGCAACGCAGGUAGCCAGCAGCGCCCGUCUUCAGCCGCCGUAUGGACGCGAGCAAAUACUGCUCCCGGUUCAUCCUCGCGGACGGUCUCCAUCCCGAGUCUGAGCGACACCACCUCGGGCGCUGCUAUCCUCCGUCCCAUACUGGCGGAUCACGAGUUGCCUGGAAAGCUGUUCGGCGCAUCCGGUGCGCUGCGGCAGAGCGGCAGUCGAGAACGAAGUCUGGCGGACUACCGUAGAGGGUCGCUUCCCAGCAUUGGCGCUCCCACCGCCACGACCGCCACCCGCUGCGACCCGUCAGGGGGUUCAGAGCACCCAGGCGACUUCAGUUCCGUUGAUGGGCUCACCAGCUUCAAGGCCACGCGAGGCGGCGGCCAACCAAUCGAGGACAGUCUCUUCUACGCCGACGUGCUGUUCAUGUGGAUGGGCGUGAAUCACACACAGUACUUCACCUACGACCCCAGCGCCGACGUGUAUCGGCUAGCACCGGACACGGGUGGCGCCAUGCAGCAGCAGGCCGCCGAGGUGUUUCAAGAGUGCGGGGUGCUGGCGCGACACAUUGACGUGGCACUCCGCCAACCGAGCGCCACCGGCGACUCGUUUCUUCAGCAGAGUCUGCGCAGUGCGUUGCGCCGGCAGCUGACCCAGUACCACUAUCUCGUGUCUAUGCUGCGCGAACGACGCAGCCCACCGCUGCACAUAGGCGACCUUGUUGUCGCCUACAAACGUGUGCAUCCCAAGUUGUGGGUGAUGGACUGCGUUCUCCGCGAGACGCAGCAUGUCAAGGGUGGGGAGUUGGCCUCCAGGAUGCAGCAGCUCGUCCAGCACGGCUCGCAUCGCCUUGCCUCUCUCCUGCAUGAUAUCUAUAUCGAGACGGUGAGUCCGCUGCUGCACAUGACGGUAGAGAGCAUCACGAAGGGGGACGUGUGCGACCCGAUGCGCGAGUUCUACAUUGUCCCCAUGGACAGCAUCGAUGACGCGGCGGAGAACUUCUGGGUCGCCAAGUACGUUCUCAACACGGAGAUGCUGCCGAGAACUGUCCCAGAGAGCGUCGCGCAGGACAUCCUGCUCGUGACCAAGAACAUCCGCUUCAUCUGCCGGUGCUGCCGCGCCAAGCAGUGGAGGAUGGACCCGUCACUUGUUGCCGAGGCGGAGCGAGCGACAUUUGACACGCUGCCGGCCGUUGUGCACCGUGCGCUCGUCUUCACCAACACGGCGGUGCUUCGGCUCAUAAGGGAGGAGUUUCAGCUGCACGAGGUGCUGCGACUGGUAAACGCCUUCCUCUUGGUCGGCUACGGCGACUUUUACGAGCUACUCAUCACGAAACUGGAGCCGGUCCUAUCGAAGAUGAGCAGCGCUGUCCCGGUGUCGGUGGUGCGAGACCAGGUGCUAAGUGCGCUGGCGGAGAUCGCCCCGUACGCGAGGCACCUCGACACGGACCGCUUCGCCCUGCUUCACUGCGAGCUGGUGAAGGAUGAGGCAAAGCUGGGCUGGGACACGUUCGUCAUGACAAUGCCGGUGCCCUCGCCUCUCAACAACGUCUUCGAUCACGGUGCCAUGAAAGUCUACCGCCGACUCUUUCGGCUGAUGUUUCGCGUCAAGGUGGCGGAAGUAGCUCUGAAGAAGGCGUGGCGGCAGAACGUGGUGCUGGACCGUCUGAUCAGCAGCGUGCAGCGCACUAUGCAGGAGAGGUCGGCGUGGCGCGAAGUAGCUGCUGAUGCGCACCUCCUCGGACUUCAGCUCAACCACUUCGUCAAUAACCUGUGGUCCUACCUGGUGGCGGAAGUGUGCACCGUGGCACAAGACCUGCUCCUCAAGGCGGUGGAGCAGUGCGCCUCCAUGGACGACAUCCGCACAGCGCACAACACGUAUUUGGCCUACCUUACGCAGCGUUCGCUGUUGCACACAGACUGCGCGACGAUCCGCAUGAACGUGGAGAACAUCCUCACAAUUGUGCGGGAGUACUGCGGCUCGCAGGCGUUGCUCGCGUCCCUUUUACAGCGCGGCUCAGGCGACCUGUCCACGGUCAAGCGACAGUAUCAAGGCCUCACCGACGACUUCCACCGUGAAAUGUCCUCGCUGCUGACGACGCUUGAGGAGCAGCACGUCAACUUCGACUUCCUCAACUUCUUGCUGCUCAGGCUCAACUUCAACCGCUUCUACCACGACACCUCGGACACGGCGUACAACACAGAGUUUUAGCGCCGGCAGCAGACGGCUGAUGCUGGGAGUGGUGUCGGUGAUAAAAGGAGAGACGCCACUUUUCUGCGCCUCUACUCCCCCUCCCUCCAUGUAGCGCAACCAGCCCAGACAUCCACGCAUACGUAAACGGGUACAUGGAUUUUCCAGACGCGCCACAAGGAAGUUGUCCUUCUUGCCCUGAUUUCAUGGGAGCUAGCAUACCAACCCACGGCGCACCUUUCUGG
This 3213-nucleotide unclassified non-coding RNA is filed under the name Leishmania donovani. Its description in RNAcentral is "gene:LdHU3.28.3960(CDS-product:gamma-tubulin_comp lex_subunit_putative)". Lineage: Eukaryota; Euglenozoa; Kinetoplastea; Trypanosomatida; Trypanosomatidae. The record is from RNAcentral.